UUAGGCUAUUUUUGGUGCCCUCUCAGCACUUGGUGCCCAGUGUGAUCCGCGUGGUGGGAGCGGCGGCACUGAUCUCAAAGCAACUGGCCACAACUUUUAAUUUUUCAUCCAGGUCCUCUUGAGGAAGCAUCUCAGCAAAGCGAAUCCCUUCCACCUUGCAGACUGCAGAGCCUUUGCUUCAUCGCCAGAUUUCUACUUUCACUCUUCUUUGCGAUUUAACAGUAUUUUUGGAACGCAAACUGUAGUGAGCACGUGAAUUUACACACGUCUUCAUCCUGUAGGUUAAUUGGGAUAAACAAUGUGCCAACUUGCGUCAUAGUGGAGCUGGAUUUCUAGAUGUUUCCCGAUUACAGGUGAUGAUUGUCUAAGGAGAAUAAUCAGUCCAGUGAUUCCCGUCCAAUCAAAUCGAAUAGAAAACUUGCAUCACACAGACUUCAAAACACCUGCCGGCUGGCGCCAAUUUAGUUUAAUCAUGGAGGAGGAGGAAGAGUGGUAGAUACUUCAACAUGCAAUAACUCAAAUACAGCACUUCAGCAUCCUUUGGUCGUACCUGAAGCUUUUUUUGCAGUUAAGGCAAAGAAGAACAAUUGGGUCACUAUGUCAUGCCUACUUUGCUUGGCCAGACCAGUUGAAAUAUCAGCAUUUAAGAGUUGUUCUUCUAAUUUAAAAAAGCACAUUGAGGUAAGUUUUUAAUAUCUGCUAAGUAUCAUG
Molecule: non-coding RNA, 711 nt
Organism: Misgurnus anguillicaudatus (oriental weatherfish)
Lineage: Eukaryota; Metazoa; Chordata; Actinopteri; Cypriniformes; Cobitidae
Source: RefSeq, a predicted model, not a curated record